RNAcentral lists this ribosomal RNA (253 nucleotides) under uncultured bacterium. RNAcentral describes it as "partial 16S ribosomal RNA". It matches the Rfam family "Bacterial small subunit ribosomal RNA", at positions 524 to 776 of the family's 1533-position model. The record is from RNAcentral.
UACGUAGGGUGCAAGCGUUGUCCGGAAUUAUUGGGCGUAAAGAGCUCGUAGGCGGUUUGUCGCGUCUGCUGUGAAAUCCCGAGGCUCAACCUCGGGCCUGCAGUGGGUACGGGCAGACUAGAGUGCGGUAGGGGAGAUUGGAAUUCCUGGUGUAGCGGUGGAAUGCGCAGAUAUCAGGAGGAACACCAAUGGCGAAGGCAGAUCUCUGGGCCGUAACUGACGCUGAGGAGCGAAAGCAUGGGGAGCAAACAGG